Thermochaetoides thermophila DSM 1495 is the source of this 77-nucleotide non-coding RNA. NCBI's taxonomy places the organism in Eukaryota, Fungi, Ascomycota, Sordariomycetes, Sordariales, Chaetomiaceae. The record is from the annotation of a RefSeq genome assembly.
GCGGAUUUAGCUCAGUUGGGAGAGCGUCAGACUGAAGUUCAAUCUGAAGGUCGUGUGUUCGAUCCACACAAGCCGCA